CGUUAUGAGGAUGAUGAAGAAUGUACUUAUCAAUGCACCUCAUAUCAAACAUUUCUUGUCGAAACAGUUCACCUCCGACAAACCAUAUACUACUCAAGAAAUUGACGAAGUUAGAGAAGAAUGGGCAAUGUCAUUUUUACAAUUGGUUAGAGCAAAAUGAAUGAUGUUAUAGCUAGCUAAUUACAAUACAUGUUUAGAAAUUUUAAAUUUAUUUCGUAAAAUUUUUUUGCCAUUU
This is a long non-coding RNA of Humulus lupulus (European hop), 235 nucleotides long. RefSeq lists it as uncharacterized. The transcript is spliced from 2 exons. The record is from RefSeq and is a predicted model, not a curated record. Lineage: Eukaryota; Viridiplantae; Streptophyta; Magnoliopsida; Rosales; Cannabaceae.